CCCUUAGAUGUUCUGGGCCGCACGCGCGCUACACUGACUGGUGCAACAAGUGUCGCUCCUUGGCCGAUAGGCCUGGGCAAUCUUUGAACGCCAGUCGUGAUGGGGAUAGAUUCUUGCAAUUUUUGAUCUUCAACGAGGAAUUCCUAGUAAACGCGAGUCAUCAACUCGCAUUGAUUACGUCCCUGCCCUUUGUACACACCGCCCGUCGCACCUACCGAUUGAAUGGUCCGGUGAACCCUCCGGAUCGACCCGCGCCAACGCAAGUUGAGCAAAGGCCGAGAAGUUGGGUAAACCUUACCAUUUAGAGGAAGGUGAAGUCGUAACA
This 325-nucleotide ribosomal RNA is filed under the name uncultured eukaryote. Its description in RNAcentral is "partial 18S ribosomal RNA". It matches the Rfam family "Eukaryotic small subunit ribosomal RNA", at positions 1470 to 1796 of the family's 1831-position model. The record is from RNAcentral.